This 71-nucleotide transfer RNA is filed under the name Marmota marmota marmota (Alpine marmot). It matches the Rfam family "tRNA". Rfam says of the family: Transfer RNA (tRNA) molecules are approximately 80 nucleotides in length. RNAcentral also lists the same sequence under 1 other name. The record is from Rfam by way of RNAcentral. Lineage: Eukaryota; Metazoa; Chordata; Mammalia; Rodentia; Sciuridae.
GGGGUUGUGGCUCAGUGGUAAAGUGCUUGCCUUGCAUGCAUAAGGCACUGGGUUCGAUUCUCAGCACCCCA